Molecule: long non-coding RNA, 219 nt
Filed under: Linum usitatissimum (flax)
Lineage: Eukaryota; Viridiplantae; Streptophyta; Magnoliopsida; Malpighiales; Linaceae
Description: long non-coding RNA (LUSI_LNC000247)
Source: RNAcentral
CUUGAUCUAGUCCGGGAUAAUUCCCGAGAAAACUUCGCACUGGCAAGAGAUCAGAUAAGAGCAAAGAAGGAUCGGUCAGGUGGGCAUCCAAAGUCUCUUUUUGUUUUCACGAAGUAUCUAGAAAUCAUGUAAGUAUACCUGAGCUGAUCUUCCAUUGUAGGACCAAAGGGAGGGCGUUGUUGCCGUGAUGCAGCUUCUUGUAGAUGAACAAGUGAUGCG